Long non-coding RNA from Armigeres subalbatus, 617 nucleotides. RefSeq lists it as uncharacterized. Lineage: Eukaryota; Metazoa; Arthropoda; Insecta; Diptera; Culicidae. The transcript has 3 exons. The record is from RefSeq and is a predicted model, not a curated record.
UGUUCUGAUCAAUUUAAAUUCAAAAAAUUUAAAUGAACAAAAUCUUUCACUUACAAUUUUACUUGGAGAAUAACUGGAUUUAGAUGAGCGUGUACAAGUUUGUUUGUGUCUAGUCUCAGUUGAUUAGUAGAAAGACGAAGUAAACGAAGUGUUCCUUUUAUUAUUUGAUUAUGCGAGCAAGCGACGGCUGAUCAUUGGCCGCUGUACCGUGAAAUUGAGGUAAUGAUAAAACACUGCUGCUUGCCAUCAUCACUGAUGAUUCAAUAAAUAUCAUUCGGCGACUAUCAUCGAGCUAUAUCACCAACGGGAUACAAUAAAAAAUUGAACAGGAAAAAAAAUGCGAGUAGCAUCAGUUACAGCGUCUUCAGUGAGUAAAGCCGGUUGCAUCAUCGGCGACCGAAAUCUACGUUCAUGCAUCCCGGUCUGAAUUUCGGUCUGAAUAGCAUUAACGGACUCAAAAAUACCACUAAUAAUUUAAAUUUAAAUUAUAUGGAAUCUAAUUUAUUUUAAAUUGAAUUGUAUUUUUAUUGUAAUAUUGAAGUCGAGAUUGAAGUGAAAUGUAUUUAAAAUCCCGUUGUAUUUCUACUGUAAAACAAUAAAAAAAUGUGAGAAAAACA